RNAcentral lists this ribosomal RNA (493 nucleotides) under uncultured bacterium. Its description in RNAcentral is "partial 16S ribosomal RNA". It matches the Rfam family "Bacterial small subunit ribosomal RNA", at positions 30 to 523 of the family's 1533-position model. The record is from RNAcentral.
AUUGAACGCUGGCGGCAUGCUUUACACAUGCAAGUCGAACGGUAACAGGUUAAGCUGACGAGUGGCGAACGGGUGAGUAAUGCAUCGGAACGUGCCCGAUCGUGGGGGAUAACGCAGCGAAAGCCGCGCUAAUACCGCAUACGAUCUGAGGAUGAAAGCGGGGGACCGUAAGGCCUCGCGCGAUCGGAGCGGCCGAUGUCAGAUUAGGUAGUUGGUGGGGUAAAGGCCCACCAAGCCGACGAUCUGUAGCUGGUCUGAGAGGACGACCAGCCACACUGGGACUGAGACACGGCCCAGACUCCUACGGGAGGCAGCAGUGGGGAAUUUUGGACAAUGGGCGCAAGCCUGAUCCAGCCAUUCCGCGUGCAGGACGAAGGCCUUCGGGUUGUAAACUGCUUUUGUACGGAACGAAAAGGCUCUGGUUAAUACCUGGGGCUCAUGACGGUACCUAUAGAAUAAGGACCGGCUAACUACGUGCCAGCAGCCGCCGUAA